GAUUGAACGCUGGCGGCAUGCUUUACACAUGCAAGUCGAACGGUAACAGGCCUUCGGGUGCUGACGAGUGGCGAACGGGUGAGUAAUGCAUCGGAACGUGCCCAGAGGUGGGGGAUAACGCAGCGAAAGCUGUGCUAAUACCGCAUGUGAUCUGAGGAUGAAAGCGGGGGACCAAGCAGCAAUGUUUGGCCUCGCGCCUCUGGAGCGGCCGAUGUCAGAUUAGGUAGUUGGUGGGGUAAAGGCCUACCAAGCCGACGAUCUGUAGCUGGUCUGAGAGGACGACCAGCCACACUGGGACUGAGACACGGCCCAGACUCCUACGGGAGGCAGCAGUGGGGAAUUUUGGACAAUGGGCGCAAGCCUGAUCCAGCAAUGCCGCGUGCGGGAAGAAGGCCUUCGGGUUGUAAACCGCUUUUGUACGGGACGAAAAGGCUCUGGCUAAUACCUGGGGCUGAUGACGGUACCGUAAGAAUAAGCACCGGCUAACUACGUG
Molecule: ribosomal RNA, 493 nt
Filed under: uncultured bacterium
Lineage: Bacteria
Description: partial 16S ribosomal RNA
Rfam family: Bacterial small subunit ribosomal RNA
Source: RNAcentral